UGAGUCGCGACUUCACUACGUACAAGUGUGCUGUGGCCUUGAUAGGCAGAGCCGCCCUACGCGAACUAAAUAAAAAUGGUGGCCGCCGUGGUCUCCGGAGACAUUUGGACCGAGCAGGGAAACAAUCCGGCCCGAGAACGAAUCUAAAGAAAUUCGGAAACCGUCAAUCGUUCAAGUUCCAGGUGAGGAAUUGUGUAUCAGGGCCGUAAACAUCGCUAUCUGAACCUCGUUCGAUCUCCGUCAUCACGUUGGCCGCGGGCGCCCAAAAAACGACCGUCGUCGCCUCGAUGUUAUGGGUGUGCAUAUCUAUCACAUGAAUUUCAACGUAUGCAAUGAUAACCCGAAACAGAACGGCUACAAAUAUGACACCGCCAACGUACUCAUCGUUCGACACUACACGUUUGAUCUCAUUUGUGUUUUGAAAUAUACAAGUUACAACGAAAACGAUCAAAAGUGAAACAAAUUGAAGAAAAAUGUCGAACGACCGACAUAUUGUUCAAGUUUACGUUGGAGCCCUUUCGGCGUACUACGAAGCCCUUUCAGUUGAAGCAAGUAAACAAACAACAGCGGAUGAAAUCGUCUCGUGUAUCGUUGAAAGGCUAUCUUUGAAUGAAAAUCCUCGCGGUACUUAUGAACUUGCUGAAGUCAUCGGGGAUUCUUCUGGACAAGAAUGUAAAGAACGUUGUUUAUUGCCGAAUGAAAGUCCGGUACAGUUAAUGUUAUUAUGGCCGAAAAUGCGCUCGGACAAUUCGUGUUAUCGGUUUUAUUUGCGUGAAAAAGUGAACGAUUACGUAUGGAGGGACAGUUUUGUGAUGGAUCCUCAAUUAAUCAAAGACUAUUUUCAUCGAUUUUUAUACCAACCAAAAGAUAGGGAAUACCCGGAUUUAUGUCAACUACCCGAUUUAAACGAACAAACUUUACUUGACAAUUUAAGAGCUCGAUUUACAGCUGGUCAUAUAUACACGUACGUUGGUUCAAUCUUAAUCGCUGUUAAUCCGUUUAAAUUUUAUCCAAUUUAUAAUCCAAAGUAUGUGAAAUUGUAUCAAAAUCGUCGAUUAGGCCCAAAUUUACCACCUCAUAUUUUCGCAGUAGCCGAUACUGCGUAUCAUUGUAUGUUAAAAGAUCGUAAGAACCAGUGUAUUGUUAUUAGCGGGGAAAGCGGAUCCGGAAAAACAGAAAGCACUAAUUUUUUAUUACACCAUUUAACGGCUUUAUCUCAAAAAGGAACGCACGGCAGUGGAGUUGAACAAACUAUUUUAUCGGCCGGACCUGUUUUAGAAGCCUUUGGAAAUGCGAAAACUGCUCAUAAUAAUAAUUCGAGUCGUUUCGGAAAAUUUAUUCAGGUUAAUUAUAAAGAAAACGGGAUGGUUCAUGGAGCCGUAGUUCAAAAAUAUUUAUUGGAAAAAUCUCGGAUUUGCACUCAAGGUCGAAACGAAAGAAACUAUCAUGUAUUUUAUUACCUUCUCGAAGGAGCCACAGAACAAGAAAAACAAUUAUUACAUUUAAAACCACCUGAUCAAUACAACUAUUUAAAUAUGAGUGGUUGUUACACCCUUGAUAACGUCGAUGAGAGUUACGAAUUUUCCCGAUUAAAACAAUCAAUGGAAAUGGUUGGGUUUACAGCGGAAAAACAACGUAGAUUAUUUUCAGUUCUUUCCGCCGUUCUUCUCCUCGGAAACGUUGAAUUUCAACCAAGAAAAUCAGCUUACCACCACGACGAAGCCGUGGCUGUAAAAAACCCGGAAGUAGUUUCGUUAAUUUCCGAAUUAUUAAAAGUAAAACAAGAAACACUUCUUCAAGCUUUAACUUGUAAAAAAGCCAAAGCUUCCGGUGAAGUUUUAAUCAUUAAUUAUCGACUUCCUGAAGCGAUUGCAAGUCGGGAUGCGAUGGCUAAAUGUUUAUAUGGAGCCCUUUUCGAUUGGAUCGUUCUCCAAGUUAAUCACGCUUUAUUAUCAAAAAAAGAUACUUUGAGGGAACAUCAGGGAAAUUCAAUAGGGGUUUUAGACAUUUUUGGUUUUGAAGAUUUCGGGUUGUGUAAUAGUUUUGAACAAUUGUGUAUUAAUUAUGCUAACGAACAUCUUCAAUACUAUUUUAAUCAACACGUUUUUAAAUACGAACAAGAGGAGUAUCGAAAGGAGGGUAUUCGUUGGACUAACAUUGAUUUUAUGGACAAUACUGGGUGUUUGCAAUUGAUUGAAGGAAAACCAAAUGGGUUAUUGUGUUUAUUGGAUGAUCAAUGCAAUUUUCCUGGUGCAACAAACGAAACCCUCCUUCAAAAAUUCAACACGGUCCAUAAAGAUAGCAAGUUUUACCAAAAACCUCAAAAACGCGAAGGGGCUUUCAUCGUGGUUCAUUACGCCGGAAAGGUUAAAUACCAAGUUUCAGAUAUGCGCGAGAAAAACUUGGAUUUAAUGCGACAAGACAUCGUUGGGGUGUUAAAGAACAGCUCGAUGGCGUUUGUUCGUGAAUUGGUUGGAGCUGAUCCGGUGGCUGUGUUUCGUUGGGCCAUCGUUCGAGCUUUUUUCCGGGCGUAUUUUGCUUUCCAUGAGGCUGGAAGAAAACAUCGCCAAGGAAGAGUUGAUGGGAAUAAGAAUAAUAUUCAACAAAGAUAUAGUAGGAAUCAUGUCCCCAAUGAAAACAUUAUAAGCUAUCUUGUGACCGUUUCUGCGGUGAACCUAACCGUUAACAGAAUUGCGAAAAACAAAUCAUUCCGACCUCGAGAACGUGCAAAAAAGGGCUUAAAAAAUCUCCAAUCCGUAAAAACGUUAGCUGGAAGAACCGGAUUAACAACCGGAAGUCAACGCACAACCAGAAAGCAAUACUUAACUGUAACAGCCCAAUUUCAACAAUCGUUACAUUCCUUAAUGGAUACCCUAAAUCAAGCAAACCCAUUUUUUAUUCGUUGCAUAAAAUCAAACAGCAACAAAAUUCCGAAUGAAUUCGAUAAUGAAACGGUACAAAGACAAUUAAGAUACACUGGGAUGUUGGAGACGGUUCGAAUUCGACGUGCAGGUUUUAACGUGCGCGUUACAUACGACGAAUUCAUCCAACUUUAUCGAAUUUUAUUACCCAAAGGACUAUUAAGCUCCCAAAUUGACGUGAGAAAUUUCUUGUAUACAUUAAAUUUAAAUAGAGAUAAUUACCAAUUGGGAUGUAGCAAGAUCUUUUUGCGUGAAUCUGAAAAGUAUAAACUCGAUUGUAAAUUGCAUCAACAAAUUAUGGCCAGUAUCGUUACGUUACAACGUUGGUUCCGUGCCACGUUAGAACGACGUCGAUAUUUAAGGAUACGAAACUCUGUUAUCUUGUUACAAUCAUAUUGUCGGAUGUAUUUAGUUCAAAAAUACGUAAGGACCAUUAACGCUGCGAUUAAAAUACAGAAAACAUGGAGGGGGUAUAAAGCGAGAAAUUGGGUGCAAAAACUUAAAAAGGGUUUGAUUGCGUUCCAAGCGGGUUGUCGAGGGUAUUUAGCGAGGAAAAGUUUGAUGGAGGCUAAGAAUCGAAUUUCAAAAACGCAGAAAUUUCUUCCGAAACCUAGUGAUGUUGGAAGCAGUAUUGGAAGUAUGGAUGAUGCAUUUUCAAGCAAAGAAUCGAGUCGGGAGAGAUUAGAUUUCGAUUUGAAGGAUAGGAUGAGAAUUCGGGAUUCGGAUGAGAGUAGUGGAAUAUUAGAAGAUUUGGGUUCGGAAUUAUCACAAUCAAAAUUAUCUUUAAGAUCAACUUUAUCAUUACCAGCUGUUCCAUCAACUCCAAGUCCUUACUUACAAAGAUUUGAAGAUAGAAAAGCGGAAAGCGUUACAUUAGACACACAACGUCGUACUCAGCAAGAAGAAAAAUAUAAAGGCUCCUCAGACUCCUUAAGCUCUCAACGUUCGUUUGAUUCAUCCGAUUUAAUUUCGAUUUUGGGAAAUUAUUCAGUUCCGCACCCCUUAGAAGAUAAUAAAUAUUCGAAAUUUGAAAACACGGACGUUUGGAAACCAAGGAUUCAAAAGCAGCCAGCUUUAACGCAAGUCGCCGCGACUUAUAACGUAACUUCCGGGAGAUGGGACCGAAAUACGGGGGGGUUAGUUAGUUUGCCCCCUGUGAGAAGACCCAGUAGAGAUGCAGCAACCAUCGAUUUUUCCGCUGAAAGAACCCCAACGAAAGCAGAGGAGAUCUUGGGGAAACCAAAAGUACCAUUAAGAAGUCAACGAAAACAACCAAAAAGAAGUCACGUUAGGAGUUUAGGGGAAGAAGUUACCGAUGGAAGUUUAUUAGACAAAAAUGUUGCUUUAAAAACGAUCGAAGAAACUACUCCACCUCAAAGCCAAAAAGAACAAGUUAACAAAUUCAUUCAACACGAGGAAGAAUGGGGAAAACAAUACGUAACUCACACUCCAAAACGUCAAAAAUCGGCGUUAAACUCCUUCGAUUUGCGCCGAAGAAACAGUGAUCCAGCAACAAAAUCAAAUUUAGUUACAGAGCAUCAUCCGGAAGGUGGGGGUUCUUCCCCAAAAUGCCAAGACGAACCCGAAUGGCAAAAUCAAACCACUUUUACAAUGGGGGGACACACAUUUCGAAAAACUAAAACGUUUUCAAAAGAUGAUGCGUGUUCAUUUUGUAACAAUUUAAUAGAUGCUUUUGCAAUGCAAGGGUAUAAAUGCGCGAAUUGCAAAAAAAUUUUCCACACAAAAUGCAUACAAAACAAAAGCGUCCUAAAAAUACCUUGCGAAAACAAAUUAGUCUCCGAAAACAAUAAAUCCGGGCGAAGAAAAUACCGCAAACACUCAAAAGCUCCGUAUGACUUAUCAAAACCCGGUUACACAAACAAAUUUAGCGUAACAAAUACGUCAGAAUUCACCGAUCGAGCCGAUCAAAUAAUAAGCGACACAAAAGAAUUACAAAGAAUGCAAGAUUUUAUCACAAGCAAAAUUUGUAAAAUUGAAACCGACGCCGCGGGGAAACCCAGCGAAGUCGAUCGAGUUUUUAAAUUAGCUUUACGCGAAUUUAAAGACAAUUUAGUUCAAGUUUAUAGCGCCGCAAAUCGCAACUCCGAAGCUUACAGCAUAAAAUACAAAGAUUUAAUAAUGAAUUUCAUCCAAGCGAUGGAAACUGUUUGUCAAAGGGAAAAAACCGAAAACGAUUUCCCCGUAACGAUGGGAGUAAACGCUUUCCGCGGAUUUAUGAACGAAUUUAUGCAAAGUCGACCAGAAGCUGAAAAACCGGGUAAAGUAAAACGAAAAAAAGAGAAAAAACGUAAAGUCGACGAUUUAAUUAAAUAUUACGGGCACACAUUUUUAUUAACAAUAAUAAAUAUCCCAACAGCUUGCGAAAUUUGUAAUUCAUUUUUUAUGUGGCCAUUAGAAAGAGGAUUAGUUUGCCAAUCGUGCAAAUUAACGUGUCACAAAAAAUGUUACACAAGAACGACGAAUUGCGCUAAAGACGAUAGCGUUAAUUCCCAAGACGAUGGGUGGAAAUUAUUUGGGGUUCCAUUAACAACGUUAUUAAACGACGAAUCGACAAUUCCCGUUGUAAUUGAAAGAUUAUUAGCAGCAAUCGAAAUGAGGGGGUUAUACAUAGAAGGGAUUUAUAGAAAAAGCGGUGUUAGUUCGAAAGUAAAAGAGCUUAAAAAUAAAAUGGAAGAAAACCCCGAAAUCGUCGAUUUUGAUAGUUAUCAAAUUCACGUUUUAGCGUCAGUUUUAAAAUCAUUUUUUCGUGAAAUGCCCGAACCUUUACUCACAUUCGAAUGUUACGAGAAUUUUAUAACAGCCGCGCAUAUGGCGGAUCCUCAAGAUCGCGUUUCAACCCUUUACGAUAUCUUAAAAAAAUUACCGAAACCUAAUUUUGAUUUAAUGGAACGUUUAGUUUUUCAUUUAGCAAGAGUUGCGAUACACGAGGAUAGUAAUCGAAUGUCAACGGCUUCUUUAGCGAUCGUUUUCGCACCUUGUAUCUUAAGAACGAACAAAAUUGUUCCCGCCCAAGAUAGUUUACACGACAUCAGCAGUCAAACGCAAUGUAUUGAAACGAUUAUUUCGGAACAAUUAAGAAAGGUAAAAAAUACCCUUGAUGAUAUUGAUACUUUAGAUACGGCGAUGCAAGCUGUAACGAAACGACUGACAUCAUUAAGACGUUCGAAAGUGUAUUCACCCGAAGAGUUAUUACCAUCUGAUGAUCAAACGUCGCCGGGAAAUGUUGAAGAGGAAGAAAAUUUAUUAGAUCAUAUACAAGAGAUACAAAAAGAACAAGAACAUUUAACAUCAACUUUACCGACGUUAUCACAUACAUCUGACGAUGAUAUGUUAUCAACCGAUGGUGAUGGUAGUUUGGAUGAUGUUUCUAGUGUAAGUGAAAAGAAAAGUGGUCAAAGAAGCGGAGGAGGCCCCCCACCGGUUGUAAGAUCAAUUUCAAGUGGCGAUGCCGCAAGACAAUCAUUAAAUCAGAAAUUAAAAAGGCAGUCAUCGUCGGAUGUGAGCGUUAAAAUAGUCGAUGAGGGUGAGGAUGCUCCUAUUAUGAUUCGAGAGGGUUGUUUAAACACGUGUAAUAAAUGUAAAUUUUGUUUUGUUAAUUGUUGUUCUCUCUCUGGGAUCGAAUGAAGCGAAACGAAAAGAUUUUAUUUAACAAACUCUAUAUUCACGUUGAAAAUGAAAAUGUUUUGGAUUGAAAUUAUUGGAUAUAAACCGGAAAACCCUACCAUAAUAAACUACUAUAAACAAAUUACAAAAAAAAAAGAAAAUUCUCAAUACAAGAUAUUUAUUCUUCUAUAUACACAUUAAUUGUUGAUAUAUAAAUAAAAAAAAUGUAUAUUAAUAUAAAGAAGUAAUUGGAUUGGUGCGAAAUUAACUUGGAAGAAAAUGGGAUGGAGUUGGGCUUGAACUUAAAAUGUUAAAAUAAAAUGUUAAGAAUGAUUUAAGGAAGAGCCCGAAAUGUGUAAUGUAAAAAAAAAAGAAAGACUAUAACUGUACGUUGUUUCCUAUAAACAUAUUAUAAAAAUAUAUAAAUUAUUAUUAAAAUAAAAUUUAAUUAACAAUAAGAGAUGCGAGCGAAACGAGAGAGCAAGAAAAAAAACUUAUAUAUUUAAUAAAAUACUAUGUAUAUCUUGAUACAUAUUUAUUAUUACUAUAUAUAUUAUAUACAUAACAUAUACAUUAAAAAAAAUAAAUUAAUAAAUAAAUACGGAGGAAACGUUUAUCAUCAUCAGUGUAAUCUGCAAUAGUAACGAUUAAUUAACUAUACAUAUAAACGUUUUAGAGAUUUGAAUAAAAACCUUCCUCUUCCGAUAAAUUCCAAACUGAAAAUCGUUACGUUUUUCAUUCGGAAAAAAAGUAAAUAAAUAUAAACAUCUGUGAUAUGUA
This 7325-nucleotide unclassified non-coding RNA is filed under the name Onthophagus taurus. RNAcentral's name for it is "unconventional myosin-IXa-like, transcript variant X5". The record is from RNAcentral. Lineage: Eukaryota; Metazoa; Arthropoda; Insecta; Coleoptera; Scarabaeidae.